RNAcentral lists this ribosomal RNA (2922 nucleotides) under Escherichia coli. RNAcentral describes it as "bacterial LSU rRNA". It matches the Rfam family "Bacterial large subunit ribosomal RNA". The record is from RNAcentral. Lineage: Bacteria; Pseudomonadati; Pseudomonadota; Gammaproteobacteria; Enterobacterales; Enterobacteriaceae.
GGGUUGUGAGGUUAAGCGACUAAGCGUACACGGUGGAUGCCCUGGCAGUCAGAGGCGAUGAAGGACGUGCUAAUCUGCGAUAAGCGUCGGUAAGGUGAUAUGAACCGUUAUAACCGGCGAUUUCCGAAUGGGGAAACCCAGUGUGAUUCGUCACACUAUCAUUAACUGAAUCCAUAGGUUAAUGAGGCGAACCGGGGGAACUGAAACAUCUAAGUACCCCGAGGAAAAGAAAUCAACCGAGAUUCCCCCAGUAGCGGCGAGCGAACGGGGAGCAGCCCAGAGCCUGAAUCAGUGUGUGUGUUAGUGGAAGCGUCUGGAAAGGCGCGCGAUACAGGGUGACAGCCCCGUACACAAAAAUGCACAUGCUGUGAGCUCGAUGAGUAGGGCGGGACACGUGGUAUCCUGUCUGAAUAUGGGGGGACCAUCCUCCAAGGCUAAAUACUCCUGACUGACCGAUAGUGAACCAGUACCGUGAGGGAAAGGCGAAAAGAACCCCGGCGAGGGGAGUGAAAAAGAACCUGAAACCGUGUACGUACAAGCAGUGGGAGCCUCUUUAUGGGGUGACUGCGUACCUUUUGUAUAAUGGGUCAGCGACUUAUAUUCUGUAGCAAGGUUAACCGAAUAGGGGAGCCGAAGGGAAACCGAGUCUUAACUGGGCGUUAAGUUGCAGGGUAUAGACCCGAAACCCGGUGAUCUAGCCAUGGGCAGGUUGAAGGUUGGGUAACACUAACUGGAGGACCGAACCGACUAAUGUUGAAAAAUUAGCGGAUGACUUGUGGCUGGGGGUGAAAGGCCAAUCAAACCGGGAGAUAGCUGGUUCUCCCCGAAAGCUAUUUAGGUAGCGCCUCGUGAAUUCAUCUCCGGGGGUAGAGCACUGUUUCGGCAAGGGGGUCAUCCCGACUUACCAACCCGAUGCAAACUGCGAAUACCGGAGAAUGUUAUCACGGGAGACACACGGCGGGUGCUAACGUCCGUCGUGAAGAGGGAAACAACCCAGACCGCCAGCUAAGGUCCCAAAGUCAUGGUUAAGUGGGAAACGAUGUGGGAAGGCCCAGACAGCCAGGAUGUUGGCUUAGAAGCAGCCAUCAUUUAAAGAAAGCGUAAUAGCUCACUGGUCGAGUCGGCCUGCGCGGAAGAUGUAACGGGGCUAAACCAUGCACCGAAGCUGCGGCAGCGACGCUUAUGCGUUGUUGGGUAGGGGAGCGUUCUGUAAGCCUGCGAAGGUGUACUGUGAGGUAUGCUGGAGGUAUCAGAAGUGCGAAUGCUGACAUAAGUAACGAUAAAGCGGGUGAAAAGCCCGCUCGCCGGAAGACCAAGGGUUCCUGUCCAACGUUAAUCGGGGCAGGGUGAGUCGACCCCUAAGGCGAGGCCGAAAGGCGUAGUCGAUGGGAAACAGGUUAAUAUUCCUGUACUUGGUGUUACUGCGAAGGGGGGACGGAGAAGGCUAUGUUGGCCGGGCGACGGUUGUCCCGGUUUAAGCGUGUAGGCUGGUUUUCCAGGCAAAUCCGGAAAAUCAAGGCUGAGGCGUGAUGACGAGGCACUACGGUGCUGAAGCAACAAAUGCCCUGCUUCCAGGAAAAGCCUCUAAGCAUCAGGUAACAUCAAAUCGUACCCCAAACCGACACAGGUGGUCAGGUAGAGAAUACCAAGGCGCUUGAGAGAACUCGGGUGAAGGAACUAGGCAAAAUGGUGCCGUAACUUCGGGAGAAGGCACGCUGAUACGUAGGGAAGUCCCUUGCUGGAGCUGAAAUCAGUCGAAGAUACCAGCUGGCUGCAACUGUUUAUUAAAAACACAGCACUGUGCAAACACGAAAGUGGACGUAUACGGUGUGACGCCUGCCCGGUGCCGGAAGGUUAAUUGAUGGGGUUAGCGGUAACGCGAAGCUCUUGAUCGAAGCCCCGGUAAACGGCGGCCGUAACUAUAACGGUCCUAAGGUAGCGAAAUUCCUUGUCGGGUAAGUUCCGACCUGCACGAAUGGCGUAAUGAUGGCCAGGCUGUCUCCACCCGAGACUCAGUGAAAUUGAACUCGCUGUGAAGAUGCAGUGUACCCGCGGCAAGACGGAAAGACCCCGUGAACCUUUACUAUAGCUUGACACUGAACAUUGAGCCUUGAUGUGUAGGAUAGGUGGGAGGCUUUGAAGUGUGGACGCCAGUCUGCAUGGAGCCGACCUUGAAAUACCACCCUUUAAUGUUUGAUGUUCUAACGUUGGCCCCUAAUCGGGGUUGCGGACAGUGUCUGGUGGGUAGUUUGACUGGGGCGGUCUCCUCCUAAAGAGUAACGGAGGAGCACGAAGGUUGGCUAAUCCUGGUCGGACAUCAGGAGGUUAGUGCAAUGGCAUAAGCCAGCUUGACUGCGAGCGUGACGGCGCGAGCAGGUGCGAAAGCAGGUCAUAGUGAUCCGGUGGUUCUGAAUGGAAGGGCCAUCGCUCAACGGAUAAAAGGUACUCCGGGGAUAACAGGCUGAUACCGCCCAAGAGUUCAUAUCGACGGCGGUGUUUGGCACCUCGAUGUCGGCUCAUCACAUCCUGGGGCUGAAGUAGGUCCCAAGGGUAUGGCUGUUCGCCAUUUAAAGUGGUACGCGAGCUGGGUUUAGAACGUCGUGAGACAGUUCGGUCCCUAUCUGCCGUGGGCGCUGGAGAACUGAGGGGGGCUGCUCCUAGUACGAGAGGACCGGAGUGGACGCAUCACUGGUGUUCGGGUUGUCAUGCCAAUGGCACUGCCCGGUAGCUAAAUGCGGAAGAGAUAAGUGCUGAAAGCAUCUAAGCACGAAACUUGCCCCGAGAUGAGUUCUCCCUGACUCCCUGAGAGUCCUGAAGGAACGUUGAAGACGACGACGUUGAUAGGCCGGGUGUGUAAGCGCAGCGAUGCGUUGAGCUAACCGGUACUAAUGAACCGUGAGGCUUAACCUUACAACGCCGAAG